This 397-nucleotide ribosomal RNA is filed under the name uncultured bacterium. RNAcentral's name for it is "bacterial SSU rRNA". It matches the Rfam family "Bacterial small subunit ribosomal RNA", at positions 30 to 429 of the family's 1533-position model. The record is from RNAcentral.
AUUGAACGCUGGCGGCAUGCCUUACACAUGCAAGUCGAACGGCAGCACGGGAGCAAUCCUGGUGGCGAGUGGCGAACGGGUGAGUAAUGUAUCGGAACGUACCUUUCAGUGGGGGAUAACGUAGCGAAAGUUACGCUAAUACCGCAUAUUCUGUGAGCAGGAAAGCAGGGGAUCGCAAGACCUUGAGCUGAUUGAGCGGCCGAUAUCAGAUUAGCUAGUUUGUGAGGUAAAGGCUCACCAAGGCGACGAUCUGUAGCGGGUCUGAGAGGAUGAUCCGCCACACUGGAACUGAGACACGGUCCAGACUCCUACGGGAGGCAGCAGUGGGGAAUUUUGGACAAUGGGCGCAAGCCUGAUCCAGCCAUGCCGCGUGAGUGAAGAAGGCCUCGGUUGUAAG